Molecule: small nuclear RNA, 69 nt
Filed under: Castor canadensis (American beaver)
Lineage: Eukaryota; Metazoa; Chordata; Mammalia; Rodentia; Castoridae
Source: RNAcentral
GCACAGAGAAGAUUAACAUGACCCCUGUGCAAGGAUGACAUGCAAAUUUGUGAAGCAUUCCAUAUUUAA